UACAGAGGUCCCAAGCGUUGUUCGGAUUCACUGGGCGUAAAGGGUGCGUAGGUGGUGAGGUAAGUCGGAUGUGAAAUCUCCAAGCUCAACUUGGAAACUGCAUUGGAAACUACCUUGCUUGAGGGUUUGAGGGGGGAUUGGAAUACUUGGUGUAGCAGUGAAAUGCGUAGAUAUCAAGUGGAACACCAGUGGCGAAGGCGAAUCCCUGGAAAAUACCUGACACUGAGGCACGAAAGCUAGGGGAGCAAACAGG
This 253-nucleotide ribosomal RNA is filed under the name uncultured bacterium. Its description in RNAcentral is "partial 16S ribosomal RNA". It matches the Rfam family "Bacterial small subunit ribosomal RNA", at positions 524 to 776 of the family's 1533-position model. The record is from RNAcentral.